GCAGUCGAGCGCACUCUUCGGAGUGAGCGGCGGACGGGUUAGUAACGCGUGGGAACAUACCCUUCUCUACGGAAUAGCCUCGGGAAACUGAGAGUAAUACCGUAUACGCCCUUCGGGGGAAAGAUUUAUCGGAGAUGGAUUGGCCCGCGUUAGAUUAGAUAGUUGGUGGGGUAAUGGCCUACCAAGUCUACGAUCUAUAGCUGGUUUGAGAGGAUGAUCAGCAACACUGGGACUGAGACACGGCCCAGACUCCUACGGGAGGCAGCAGUGGGGAAUCUUAGACAAUGGGCGCAAGCCUGAUCUAGCCAUGCCGCGUGAGUGACGAAGGCCUUAGGGUCGUAAAGCUCUUUCGCCAGGGAUGAUAAUGACAGUACCUGGUAAAGAAACCCCGGCUAACUCCGUGCCAGCAGCCGCGGUAAUACGGAGGGGGUUAGCGUUGUUCGGAAUUACUGGGCGUAAAGCGUACGUAGGCGGAUUGGAAAGUAGGGGGUGAAAUCCCGGGGCUCAACCCCGGAACUGCCUCCUAAACUAUCAGUCUAGAGUUCGAGAGAGGUGAGUGGAAUUCCAAGUGUAGAGGUGAAAUUCGUAGAUAUUUGGAGGAACACCAGUGGCGAAGGCGGCUCACUGGCUCGAUACUGACGCUGAGGUACGAAAGUGUGGGGAGCAAACAGGAUUAGAUACCCUGGUAGUCCACACCGUAAACGAUGAAUGCCAGACGUCGGGGGGCUUGCCCUUCGGUGUCACACCUAACGGAUUAAGCAUUCCGCCUGGGGAGUACGGUCGCAAGAUUAAAACUCAAAGGAAUUGACGGGGG
Molecule: ribosomal RNA, 814 nt
Filed under: Yoonia maricola
Lineage: Bacteria; Pseudomonadati; Pseudomonadota; Alphaproteobacteria; Rhodobacterales; Paracoccaceae
Description: bacterial SSU rRNA
Rfam family: Bacterial small subunit ribosomal RNA
Source: RNAcentral